Non-coding RNA from Danio rerio (zebrafish), 115 nucleotides. NCBI's taxonomy places the organism in Eukaryota, Metazoa, Chordata, Actinopteri, Cypriniformes, Danionidae. The record is from Rfam.
GCCGACAGUUAACUCUCUGCAACUCUUGCAUGGUCGCCCACUGAAGCCAAGUAGGGCUGCGCCUGGUUAGUACCUGGAUGGGACACCACAUGGGAAAGCUAGGUUGCUGCCGGAA